Mus musculus (house mouse) is the source of this 365-nucleotide non-coding RNA. The record is from the annotation of a RefSeq genome assembly. Lineage: Eukaryota; Metazoa; Chordata; Mammalia; Rodentia; Muridae.
AUGGUAUCAGAGACCCAUGUCCUCAUAUUUUUGCUGCUAUGGGUGUCUGGUGCUUGUGGGGAAAUUGUGUUGACCCAGUCUAUACCAUCCCUGACUGUGUCAGCAGGAGAGAGGGUCACUAUCAGCUGCAAAUCCAAUCAGAAUCUUUUAUGGAGUGGAAACCAAAGGUACUGUUUGGUCUGGCACCAGUGGAAACCAGGGCAAACUCCUACACCGUUGAUCACCUGGACAUCUGAUAGGUACUCUGGAGUCCCUGAUCGUUUCAUAGGCAGUGGAUCUGUGACAGAUUUCACUCUGACCAUCAGCAGUGUGCAGGCUGAAGAUGUGGCAGUUUAUUUCUGUCAGCAGCAUUUACACAUUCCUCC